This 438-nucleotide ribosomal RNA is filed under the name uncultured bacterium. RNAcentral's name for it is "partial 16S ribosomal RNA". It matches the Rfam family "Bacterial small subunit ribosomal RNA", at positions 339 to 795 of the family's 1533-position model. The record is from RNAcentral.
CUACGGGAGGCACCAGUGAGGAAUCUUCCACAAUGGACGAAAGUCUGAUGGAGCGACACCGCGUGAAGGAUGAAGGUCUAACGAUUGUAAACUUCUUUUCUGAGGGAGGAAAAUGACAGUACCUCAGGAAUAAGGGGCGGCUAAUUACGUGCCAGCAGCCGCGGUAAUACGUAAGCCCCGAGCAUUACUCGGAAUUAUUGGGUGUAAAGGGUCCGUAGGCGGAUUUGAAAGUUGGAUAUGAAAGACCGGAGCUCAACUUCGUGUUUGUGUUCAAAACUCCAAAUCUAGAAUUAGGGAGGGUAAGCGGAAUUCUGUGUGUAGGGGUGCAAUCCGUAGAUACACAGAAGAACACCAAAAGCGAAGGCAGCUUACUGGAACUAUAUUGACGCUGAUGGACGAAAGCGUGGGGAGCGAAAAGGAUUAGAUACCCUCGUAGUC